Molecule: transfer RNA, 73 nt
Filed under: Mesocricetus auratus (golden hamster)
Lineage: Eukaryota; Metazoa; Chordata; Mammalia; Rodentia; Cricetidae
Rfam family: tRNA
About the family: Transfer RNA (tRNA) molecules are approximately 80 nucleotides in length.
Source: Rfam by way of RNAcentral
GCCUGGCUAGUCUAGUUGGUAGACCAUGAGACUCUUAAUCUCAGGGUUGUGGGUUAGUGCCCCACAUUGGGUG